AUGAACGCUGGCGGCGUGCCUAAUACAUGCAAGUCGAGCGAACGGACGAGAAGCUUGCUUUUCUGAUGUUAGCGGCGGACGGGUGAGUAACACGUGGAUAACCUACCUAUAAGACUGGGAUAACUUCGGGAAACCGGAGCUAAUACCGGAUAAUAUUUUGAACCGCAUGGUUCCAAAGUGAAAGACGGUCUUGCUGUCACUUAUAGAUGGAUCCGCGCUGCAUUAGCUAGUUGGUAAGGUAACGGCUUACCAAGGCAACGAUGCAUAGCCGACCUGAGAGGGUGAUCGGCCACACUGGAACUGAGACACGGUCCAGACUCCUACGGGAGGCAGCAGUAGGGAAUCUUCCGCAAUGGGCGAAAGCCUGACGGAGCAACGCCGCGUGAGUGAUGAAGGUCUUCGGAUCGUAAAACUCUGUUAUUAGGGAAGAACAUAUGUGUAAGUAACUGUGCACAUCUUGACGGUACCUAAUCAGAAAGCCACGGCUAACUACGUG
RNAcentral lists this ribosomal RNA (496 nucleotides) under uncultured bacterium. Its description in RNAcentral is "partial 16S ribosomal RNA". It matches the Rfam family "Bacterial small subunit ribosomal RNA", at positions 29 to 507 of the family's 1533-position model. The record is from RNAcentral.